GGAAUUACUACAAACAGAAAGAGGGGAGAAGCGACCACAGUGUGGCAAAAUGUAGUUAGAUAAGAUUGUUCUUCCUCCUGCAGAGCCUGCCCCCAGAAACCAUACUGAAGCUGCCUGCCACCCCGCUCAGAUUCAUGGAUGCAUUGUUCUAGUUCUUGGUUGUUGCUGCUGCUAUUGUUUUGUUGGUUGGUUUUCUUUUAGACAGAGUCUCACUAUGUAUCCCUGAUUAACCUGGAACUCACUCUGUAGACCAGGCUGGCCUCCAACUCACAGAUACCCACCUGUCUCUGCCUUCUAGAGGGCUGGGAUUAAAGUCAUGCACCACCAUGCCCAGCAAAAUGCAUCUUUCUAAAUCACUUUUUCUGUGUCACCCUUCCUGGCUUUACAACGUCAGUGAAUAAAUUGAAUGCUGGCCACAGUGGACCUGGUUCCUAUCCAAGUCUCUUCACCCUCCAUGUCGCUGUUUUUCUGGGCCUUCACAAACUGCCAUUCUCUCUACCAUCCUGUGGUUGGUUCAUGCCCCAUUUUAUAAAGUAUCCAUUUAGGUCAUUUUUAUUGUAGGAAAUUUCCCUCUCACCAGCCUUGUAAAGUGCUUUCUACCCCUGUGUUUAGCAUUACUAUAACACAUAUUAGAGUCAUAAAUUCUAUUGUCUACUUAGCUGAGUUCUAAACAGCCAAAGGAAGGUGAACUCUUAAUUUUAUCCAUUCUAUUCAUGAAGCACAGAUUCUGGCACACAGAAACUCAAUAGAUGUUUAAUGAAUGAAUGCUAGCUCUUUCUCUGUGUUUCCCAUGCAUUGGUGUAUGUCUGUAUGAGCGCGUUGAAUUUCCUAGAACUGCCGUUACAGACAGUUGUGACCCACCACGUGGGUGCUGGGAGUUGAACCCAGGUCCUGCAGAACAGCAGCCAGUGCUCUUAACCUCUGAGCCGUCUCUCCAGACCUAGUUCUUUCUCUUUUACAGUUUCUUCCAGGCCCAGCCACCUCAUUCUUCAGGGAGCCUUCUCUGGCCUGCCAACCUCUCAACAGUUCUUUUCAGUACUUCGCUGAAGUAGUCAUUGACCUAUUUUUGUGCUUGCCCAUUGCCUUAGAGUAGGGAUUCAGUAAGUGCUUACACUGUCAAUUAUUAUGAAUGAGGACAUGAAGUGUCUCUUGUGUGUCUCUUCCAAGAAACCCUGCCAGAUAUGGGCACAUUUCCCAUGGAAAAGCUUUGUCCAGAACAUAAUAUCCUGUAAGGAACUAGAUACUUCGUUCAACCACUAAAAGAAAUGUAUUUUAUAAUGAUGGUCUUUAUAUGCUUUGCAGUUUGUUGAACUGAGAGUUAUGGUCUAAGUUUCUGCUUUCAUUAAUAGUUAAUAAUUUCAUAGAUUUUUGACACUAGGAGUACUCAGACUAGAAUCAGUAAUUUCUUAUUUGUAGUAGGAGAUAUGUCUGUGACAUUUUCCGUAGGACAGCCAAACUAAAUCCUUAGACUAAGUGACUAAUUCUUUCAGAUUUUUGGAAAUGCUUGUGUAUAUACACUUAUGAAUAGACAUAUAUGUGUAUAUAAUAUGCCAACUAUACUUGAAUGUGGUUUUAUAACAUUUCUUCUGUUUUCAUGUUAUAGUUUUUUAAUUAUGAUUUUCAGAAUGCACAUACAUUUCAGUAACAAUUUUGAUAUGAUACUUGCUAUAGAAAUUACACUACUUGAAAACAUCUACAUGCAAGUAGCACUAUACAGCCUGAGCAGGUGUAUUUAUGUAUUUGGGAAUAUAUAUGUAUGAUAUAUACAUAUACACACAUGUGUAUAUAAUAACAAUUAAUGAAAAAAGGCCAUGCAUUUUAAAGAGAGCAAAGAAGGGUAUAUGACAGGAUUUGGAGGGGGGGAAAUGAUGUAAUUAUAUUAUAACUUCAAAGAAUAAAGAAAGUAAAAAGAAGAGGCAAAUAGGUGAAGAAUCCAAAAGAUAAUUUUAAAAUCUUGUUUUCUGUGUCUCAGAAAUCUUGUUAUUUUUUGCAACAGAACAUAGCCAUUCCUCUGGGUUUGUUUGUUUCUUUUUCUUCUUUUUAUGGAGUAGGAGGCCUUCUGUCUAUAUGUUAUUUUCAUUGGUCAAAUGAAGAAACUUCCUUGGCCUUUUGAUAGGACAGCAGCUUAGAUAGGUGGAGUAGACCAAACAGAAUGAUGGGAGAAAGAAAGCAGAGUCAGGCAGACGCCAUGGCUCCCCUCUCCGAGACAGAAGCUGGUUAGAUCCAUGCUGGUAAGCCACAGUCAAGUGGCGAUACAGAUUAUUAGAAAAGGGUUGAAUCAGUAUGUGAGAGUUAGCCAAUAAGGGGCUAGAACUAAUGGGUCAGGCAGUGUUUAAAUGAAUACAGUUUCUGUGUAAUUAUUUCGGAUGUAAGCUAGCUAGCCAGGCGGCUGAGAGCCGGGCUGCAGGAAGUGGUGGGCUGCAGGAAGCGGCCCACUGCUCCUUUUACAACAUUUUUACUCAAAACUAGUUUCUGCAGUAAUUCAGUCUGCUGCUGCUGACACUAGGUGCUAAACACCACAAGAAGCAGUUCCUUGUAAAUGUGCAUUUAUCUUAUUUUCUCUUCAUUUAUAAAUACCCCAAGGGUAAGUCCCAACUCUCAUUCAUCUCUCUAUUCCUGGCUGAGUGUUUCAUGAAGUAUGGUUUGGGAGUAGUGUGCUUCAGAGUUUUAUAGAUGUACCAGAUGGCUCCAGAUCUCAGGAUCUCUAAGCUUGGGAUGGAAGCCUUUGUACUUUCUGUGACAAAGUGGCUCUGGUUAGCAUGGUUGUGAUGUGAUUCUUCUGCACUUUAAAGCUUGCGAGGCACUACUCCUGAGAGUGAUGGAACCUGGGUGUGGUCGUGUCUCAGCAUCACCUGAUGAGAAUGAGGAGCAUGGGCCCUCACUAAACUGAAAUAUGGGAGCUUCCUGAUGCUGGGUUAAGUGGCUGCUAGGCUUCCCAGGUGACUUUGAUCACUACUUCACUGUUCUCUAACUUUGCCUUCCCAGGCUGUUAAAAACUUGUGGUACUAGUCCUCAUUCUCUGGGAUUUGGAUUACAUAGGGGUGGUGCUCAUGCAUUAUGCUGUUUUGAAAGCACACAGGUUGGGCCUAGAAAAAUGGUUCAGCAGUUAAGAUUACUUGCUGUUCUUCUAGAUGGACUUGGUAGCUCAAACCUGUCUGUAGUUUCAGUUCCAGGGUAUCUAAUCCCCUCUUCUGGCCUCUGUGGGCACUACAUGGCAUGUUCAUGGUGCACAUACAUACAUGCAGGGAAAACACUCAUACAUAUAAAAUAAAUAAUUUUUUUAAAAAAGUAUUCAGGUGAUUCGAAUGAAUGUAUGUCAGAUUUGCCAUACAUUCACAGAUCUCAAUGUUCUUACAUUGUGGAAUAUUAUUUUAAGAUGUGUUACUAUUGUUUAUGUGGUGGAACAUUUGUUUUAAUGGUGCAAAGUUGUGCAGCAUUCUUUUUUGUUGCCUUUGUGUGACUCUGUGAAACUGUGUUACUUUGCAUGUCUAAAACAACGGAGUGGUCUAAUAAAGAGUUGAACCUCUGAUAGCUGGGAAGAGAAAGAAUAGGCAGGGCUGGCAGGUAGAGAGUAUAAAUAGAAGGAGAAAUCUGGGGAGAUAAAGGGAGGAGUGAGAAAAUAAGGGGUCAGCCACACAGUCAGAUACAGAGUAAGAAGGAAAGAAAAGAUGUACAGAAAUAGAGAAAGGUAAAAGCCCAGAGGCAAAAGGUAGACGGGAUAAUUUAAGAAAAGCUGGUUAGAAAUGAGCCAAGCAAAGGCUGGGCAUUCAUAAGUAAGAAGAAGAAGCCUCUGUGUGAUUUGUUUAGGAGCUGGAUGGUGGAUCCCCCAAAGAACCAAAGAGUAAAAUGAGUAAAUACAACAACAUUCUUAUUUAGGGCACCUGUCUGUGCUCAUCCUUGAGUUUCUUAUCCCAUGUGACCAUGCCAUGCAAAACAAGUGAAUAGUGUCCUCAGUAAUGAUGGCAAGUGUGCCAAGCUGGUUUGUAGCUGGUGUCUUUAAAUGUCCAUAUAGGUUACUGUAUGUAGGCUGGCAUUCCUUUCCUAGACAAUUAUCUGUUUGUGGCAUUCACCUUUGAAAAACACAGGAACAGGAGAAGUGAGCUAUUCAAUUUUGGGCACAGAGAAAUCUACUAGAUUGACUUUAAGUGGCCCUGCAUGAAUGGAGGUACCCUGAGACAUUCUUCAGAAUGUGAUGAUAUCAGUGCCUAUUAGAAUGUUUUUGUGAAUGAAGUCACUGCCAUAAACCAAUGCAUUCAUGAGCCAGCCCCAAGGUAUUCACUGAGCACAAGACAAGUUAUGCAGUAACAAACUCCAUCCACUGUGCUCCAGGAAUCAGAAUGGAACACAGACACUUGUCUCAGAUGAAUAGCUUGUGGUUCAUUUCAGAGGAGUGCUUCCUACAGCUGGAAACACCUGGAGAGUUCUCACAUUGUGGGUUCCCAGGCCCCACCUGGACUGAAUAGGAAUCCGGGGCGGAGGCGACUGGAACUCUAGUAAACUAUCCCCAAUCUUGUCAGUAGACUUGUGACUUGUCUUGCCGGCUUCUUUGACUUUCCUGCCCUGCCACUCUUUCCUUUUGAUCGCGUUUGCCUAUCAGUGUUGGGAGAUACAAGGAAUCAAAUGUGCUGCAAAUAAGGGCGGGCAUGCUAGGCUGAAGUGUUGCUCAAAAUGCACUUGGAGGUUCUUGGGGCUGAGGGAGAAAGAAGUUCUGAAAAGGCAGUGUGUAGUCUCAGGGGAAUGGCGGAGACUGUUCAUUCCAGGAGUAAUUAUUGAAGAUGCUGACAGCCGAGACUCAGUGAGGAAAAGACCCAUUUCUUCUUCUCAUUGGGGCUCCCGAGUUAGUGGUGGAUUGGGAAUUCUGCAAGGACCUUGGGAUAAGUGCAUGCUCGAGGGUGUGAGCGAGGAGUGGGUGUAGGGGGCAAAGGAGGGCUUUUCUGUGGCCAGGUCGUGAGUGGAGGGGCUUGGUUAAGAAGGUGACAGAGGAGCAUACAUGCAGGAGUGGAGCCGUGGGAAGCCCAGUGGUGUGGCCGAGGAAAACAGAGCAUUUGCUUUGGUUGUCUCAGAGGACUCUUUGUGAAGAACGUGGGAAAUGAAGCCAGAGGAGGAGUCAGAAGCACAAACAGGACCUUGUGUUCUGCAAUGGGGCAACGUGGAACAACCCUGAGCAGGGGCGUGUCAUGAUUAGGUCUGUGCAACUCUCUGAUAAUUAGAGGAGGGAGCAGACAUAAACAAGUCAGCCAGAGUUUACUGGCUUUGAAGGGAACUGAAGAAACGCCAAGUAGACCGUGGGCACAGAUGUCAGGGUAAUCAUUUCCUAUACUCUGUGGAGGGUUACCAGGUUAUAUCAAACCCAGUCAUGUCAACGCACUCCUAUAUUGAGUGAAUAAGCCUUGAUGAUGGGCCAGACUCUGAUUGAGUGGCAGGUAGCUGGGGCUUCACAAGUACGCCAGCUUCCUGCAAUGCUAUGUGAGAGCCUCCGGAACCUGCUCUAGUCAAGGGACUGGAGAUGUGCUGCUACACUUGAACCGACAACAUGUCUCGAGCUCUAACUUUCAGCAGCAGCUGUCGCGGAGUUUUGCGUUAUUACAUUUCGUCAUUACUCUAAACUUGUCUCUUAUCUAGACCAAAUUACACAGGAAUUCAGCCCCGAAACUAGACAGCUUUUCAAAUACACUAUGCUUCAAAAUUGUUGACAAUAUUUUGCGUAGCUAAAGCUCAUUCAUAUUGACAUCACAUGAGGACUUCCGAUGAGGGCAUCUUAUAAAGGGAGCAAGUGACAGGCACUCUGGAAAUAGCUUGUUGACACCUAAUGAGGCGAUGGAGCUAUUUAUCUUUACAGAGGGCCAGGAAGUAAGGCUAAAGUGGAAUGGAUAUUUCCAGCAGACCCACACCAGAAACUAAUGCUCUUAGUUCUCACAUCUCUGAAGGGCCUCCACAAGAUGACUUUUGCCUGAGUUGUCCAAGCCAAUGACAAUGAUAGUCACAUUCCUGGAAGAGGACAAGAAAAAUUAGUCAAAGCCACGAACCUCUUGAUGCUUACACUGAAGAAUUCUAUUUGUUUUGAAGUGUUUCUCAGUGUUUGAAGCAUUGCUUGCAAUAGACUCAACUCAUGUAUCAUAAAAAGCCCUACCACAGUGGCGGGAGUGGUGUGGCAACCCCUCCCAAAUCCUCCAGAGAUACUUUCCCUCCCUGACACCUUCUGUUUAUAGGAUGGUCAUCCUCUCUCAGCUCUGUUCCAAAUCUUGCAUUCUCUGUCUAGUUACUUCGCAAAUGAGUCAUGGUCAUUUGUCCCUUGUGAAACUUUAGGCAGAUAUGUGGGAAGUAAUUCCAAAUUGGGUGUAGAAAAGUAGCUGUAAAGUUACCUUUGCUUUGCUUCUGUGGUCUUUUGACGAGACCAGCAGGCAGUCAAAAGUCGGAACAUGAUUCAGCUUGGAUCUUAAAUAUUAAAGGACAAAAAUAAAUGACAAAUCACAUCAAUUGUGAAUUAGGUCAGUUUGUCAUACAGAUGCUGGUAAACAGAAAGUCUGUGACUGUUAGAAUUCCAUUGCAUCAUCCAACCCAGCCUAACUUGUAAAUGCUAUGGAGGAGAAACUGGCUAUCCUAAGCUCCAAUGAGAACGUCGUGGUAAUAUGUAACUUCCUACAAAAUACAGUGACUUGUCACUAAAGCAACCCAACACACAGAAGCAAAUGGACCCGAUCCCUUUAGCUAUGGCUUGUUACUACUAGGAAUGUCUUAUUCAGUCUUGGGAAAAGGUGUGGUGAUGCAUUGGAGAAAAACCAGCUUAGUUUAAAGAACCAUUGGAAGACCUGUUGUAAGCAGCUUCUCUAUUGGGCUUGGUUCUGUUAUUGCCUCAGCUUCAAAGGUUGAGGUGUUGGUAACCCAUUUUUUCAUAGAUUUUAUCCAGUUCCUAGGAUCUGUACGUGACCUCAGACAUGACCUAGAAAAGACUAAUAGAUAUUAAACAGCAAUCCAGGUACCUCACUGUCAAAGAUUCCAAGGGAGUUAAAUAUGUUUCUCAAGUAAAUUUAGCAUGCAGGCUGAUUAAUGAGUGAUUGCCUAAGUAAAAGUUAAUUUAGGUAGCUGCUUCAAGGUUCCAUGUUGUAGCAUGUGUGAAUACUUAAAGUUUUGAGAUAGGUCUUACUUUGUUUCUCUGGUUGACCUGGAACUUGCUACAUAGAUCAGGAUAGCCUUGAACUCACAAAGAUCGGCCUGCCUAUGCCUAUGUUUGGAUUAAAGGCAUGCACCACAGCCCCUGGCUUCAUUUCUUUUUAUGGCUGAAAAAUUGCAGGUCUGUCACAUUUUAGUCAUUCACUAAUCUGCUGAUGGACAUUUGGAUUCGUGCUACUUAUCAGCUUCUAGGUAACACUGCAAUAAACGCACGCACGUGAGUGUAAAUGUAUGGAUAGGUGUUCAUUUCUUUUGGGCAUAUUCCUAGGAGUAAUUUCUGUGUUAUACACUGCAUCUGUGUUGGAGCAUUCAGAGAAACUGCUGGAUUGUUUUUGCAAGGUGGCCAUAACAUUUCACACUAACACCAGGAAAUGCUAGAGAGUUCUAUUUCCUCCACACGUGCAACAAAGCUUAUUGCUGCCUUGGUGUUUGUAGCUAUUCUAGCAGGCAUGAAAUGAGAUCUCAUUAUGAGUUUGACUUACAUUUCUCUAAUAGUUCAUUUUGUUGCUGCCCAGCAUUGCAGGAAGAACGAGUGGGGUUACAGAAAGAUGUCGUUUUGUACCUCUACGGGCCUUGCCCGGCUGUGUGUAUGCCAGCUACUAAUGGGUGAUUAGCACUGUUGUGCACAGUCAUCCAGUCAUUCACCCCCUGUUUUGGAGCAUUGUUAUUUUCAGAGACUCGCAUUUUGUCGCUUACCUUAGAGCACAGCUCACUGUUUAGAAAAUUGGCUUCCCUAAAGAUCUACUGGAGAAUGCCUUGCAUCAGAUAGAAACAAAACCCGUAUAUAUGGCCUGUGAUCAAAACCAACCUUACUCUAGUUUUGCUCGUGAAGCUAAUAAGACCUAGAGCCUGAAAGGAAAGAGCCCAGCUGUCUUGAUUCUAUGAUGGCUAUGUCCCUUUGAGACAAGGCUGGAAAUAUCUUCAUGUCAAUUUCUUUUUUUAAUACAUUUAUUAGUGUAUAUUAAUUGUACAAAAUAGUGAAUUACAUCAGUAUACGUUAGAACAUGUAAAUAACAUACUUUGAUUAUUCUCACCCACCAUGACCCUUUCAUCUCUUCCCCUCACCUUUCCCACUAGUGUCCCCUCUACUUUUGUAUAAUAAAGCAAUCUAGAUGCUAUUCAUAUAUCUUAAGUAGUUACAGAGCUUCUUAGCUUUGGUCUUAGUCUCUGUUUGUCCAAAUUGGCACCGUACAAGUUCUUCCUUUCAGAGGUAAUAAGGGUAGGUGGGAUGACUACAAUUCAAAUGUAGGCAGUCUACUUUCAGAGUAUUGAAUCCAACAGGCUGUGUGUGAGAGACCUGAGCUAUCAGACGAUUACGGAUACUGUUAUGUCCAGCGCCUCCACUAGAUAGCCUGGAGUGGACUCACUUAAAGGGUUCUUCGUGGAAGAGACUGUGGGAAGAUUGGAGGAGCCAGAGACAGUGAAUGACCACAAGGAAACAACCUUUUCCAAACACAAUAGAGCAGUUGCAUAUAUGAACUCACAACAAUUUUGACAGCAUUGCACAGACCUGUGAAAUCUCAGGUCAGAAAAAAUCCUAGCACGGAGUGGAAGAGGUGGACUUGUUCACUGUAAGAAGAAUCUUCCAAUGAUCAAAAUAGAUGGUAUUAAAUGAUCAAAGUAUCGAUUUAAAAUAAUAUAAAGAACUGUCCUCUAGUAGUAACUCAUGUAUUUUGAACAGUUGAUGGUACUGUUUGGGGAGGUUAUGGAACCUUUAGGAGGUGGAGCCUUCCUGGGGGAGGUAUUACUGGGCACAGACUUUGAAGGCGUAUAGCCGUAUCUUACUUACUGUUCCCUUUCUGCUUUGUGUGCAUGGAAGAAUAUGUGAUCUCCCUUCUCUCUGCUCCUGCAGUCAUGCCAUGCAUUCCCUAUUUGCGGAGUCUCCCUCUGGAACCGUUAGCUAAAAUAAACCUUUGCUUCUUUAAGUUGCUUUCAGCUAUGGCAUUUUAUCACAGCAACAGAAAAUUGAUACGGUCUUUUGAUACCAGUGGUCCUAGCAAAUGGCAGCUGUUGUAAUCAUUUGAUUCUAGCAGCAGUUAGUGGUAUUAGACAGUAGCAAGCAGCAGCAGCAGUAGUAGCUGGUACUUUUAGGUUAUAGCUUUUAUACAGGCUUCAGGUGCUAGGCUCCUGGGUCUUACAGCGACAAGUGUUACAGCUCUUAGACCUAGAAUAUCAGAGUCUUCAAGUCAUUGACAGCUUCAAGUUUUACAGCUCUCCAUAGCGCUUAUCUUCUCUGUUGCUUAGUUUCCCAUUAUUUCUACUCUAGGCAUGGUCUUCAGCUCUUCAUCUGCCAGGUGCUUUCUGCUUCUGCUGUGUUUACUGCUGCUAGCAGGGCAGUGGCUUUUGCCACCUUCACUGCUGUUGCUGCCUUCCUUCCUUCGUGUCUCCAACACAGUCCAGUAUGUUAAUAAUAAAGGUCAAAGGGAGAUU
Molecule: non-coding RNA, 9600 nt
Organism: Myodes glareolus (Bank vole)
Lineage: Eukaryota; Metazoa; Chordata; Mammalia; Rodentia; Cricetidae
Source: RefSeq, a predicted model, not a curated record